CCUACGGGAGGCAGCAGUGAGGAAUAUUGGUCAAUGGGCGCUAGCCUGAACCAGCCAAGUAGCGUGAAGGAUGACUGCCCUAUGGGUUGUAAACUUCUUUUAUAUGGGAAUAAAGUGCAGUAUGUAUACUGCUUUGCAUGUACCUUAUGAAUAAGGAUCGGCUAACUCCGUGCCAGCAGCCGCGGUAAUACGGAGGAUCCGAGCGUUAUCCGGAUUUAUUGGGUUUAAGGGGAACGUAGGCGGGUUGUUAAGUCAGUUGUGAAAGUUUGCGGCUCAACCGGAAAAUUGCAGUUGAUACUGGCAUCCUUGAGUACAGUUGAGGGAGGCGGAAUUCGAGGUGUAGCGGUGAAAUGCGUAGAGAUCACGAAGAACUCCGAUUGCGAAGGCAGCUUACUAAACUGCCACUGACAUUGAUGCGCGAAAGUGUGGGUAUCAAACAGGAUUAGAUACCCCAGUAGUC
RNAcentral lists this ribosomal RNA (460 nucleotides) under uncultured bacterium. RNAcentral's name for it is "partial 16S ribosomal RNA". It matches the Rfam family "Bacterial small subunit ribosomal RNA", at positions 338 to 795 of the family's 1533-position model. The record is from RNAcentral.